GAUGAACGCUAGCGGCAGGCUUAAUACAUGCAAGUCGAACGGUAAGAUUGGUAGCAAUACUGAUCCAAGAGUGACGUACGGGUGCGUAACACGUAUGCAACCUACCCAAAACAGGAGGAUAGCUCGGGGAAACUCGAAUUAACCCUCCAUAAGAUCAUAGAGUAGCAUUACUUAGUGAUUAAAACUCCGGUGGUUUUGGAUGGGCAUGCGUCUGAUUAGUUAGUUGGCGGGGUAACGGCCCACCAAGACGAUGAUCAGUAGGGGAACUGAGAGGUUGAUCCCCCACACUGGCACUGAGAUACGGGCCAGACUCCUACGGGAGGCAGCAGUAGGGAAUAUUGGUCAAUGGGUGCAAGCCUGAACCAGCCAUGCCGCGUGCAGGAAGAAGGCGUUAUGCGUUGUAAACUGCUUUUGCCAGGGGAUAAAAUAGCUUUGCGAAGCUAAUUGAAGGUACCUGGUGAAUAAGCCACGGCUAACUACGUGCCAGCAGCCGCGGUAAUACGUAGGUGGCGAGCGUUGUCCGGAUUUAUUGGGUUUAAAGGGUGCGUAGGCGGCCCUGUAAGUCAGUGCUGAAGUAUCCCGGCUUAACCGGGAGGGUGGCAUUGAUACUGCGGGGCCUGAGUGGAGUCGAAGUAGGCGGAGUUGACGGUGUAGCGGUGAAAUGCUUAGAUAUCGUCAAGAACACCGAUAGUGAAGACAGUUUACUAGGCUUUUACUGACGCUGAGGCACGAAAGUGUGGGGAUCAAACAGGAUUAGAUACCCUGGUAGUCCACACUGUAAACGUUGAUAACUCGCUGUUGGCGAUACACAGCCAGCGGCCAAGCGCAAGCGAUAAGUUAUCCACCUGGAGAGUACGCCGGCAACGGUG
This 869-nucleotide ribosomal RNA is filed under the name uncultured bacterium. Its description in RNAcentral is "bacterial SSU rRNA". It matches the Rfam family "Bacterial small subunit ribosomal RNA", at positions 28 to 896 of the family's 1533-position model. The record is from RNAcentral.